GAUGAACGCUAGCGAUAGGCCUAACACAUGCAAGUCGAGGGGCAUCACGGGAGUAGCAAUACAACUGGUGGCGACCGGCGCACGGGUGAGUAACACGUAUGCAACCUACCUACUUCAGGGGAAUAACCCGGAGAAAUUCGGACUAAUACCGCAUAAUACAGGGGUCCCGCAUGGGAAUAUUUGUUAAAGAUUUAUCGGAAGUAGAUGGGCAUGCGUUCCAUUAGAUAGUUGGUAAGGUAACGGCUUACCAAGUCAGCGAUGGAUAGGGGAACUGAGAGGUUUGUCCCCCACACUGGAACUGAGACACGGACCAGACUCCUACGGGAGGCAGCAGUGAGGAAUAUUGGUCAAUGGGCGAGAGCCUGAACCAGCCAAAUCGCGUGAAGGAAGACUGCCCUACGGGUUGUAAACUUCUUUUGCAGGGGAAUAAAAGAGAGUACGUGUGCUUUAUUGCAUGUACCCUGCGAAUAAGCAUCGGCUAACUCCGUGCCAGCAGCCGCCGUAA
Molecule: ribosomal RNA, 505 nt
Filed under: uncultured bacterium
Lineage: Bacteria
Description: partial 16S ribosomal RNA
Rfam family: Bacterial small subunit ribosomal RNA
Source: RNAcentral